GGCGGGAGUAGUUCAAUGGUAGAACCCUAGCCUUCCAAGCUAAUGACGCGGGUUCGAUUCCCGUCUCCCUCUCCA
RNAcentral lists this transfer RNA (75 nucleotides) under Rhodoferax sp. Its description in RNAcentral is "tRNA-Gly". It matches the Rfam family "tRNA". From Rfam's summary of the family: Transfer RNA (tRNA) molecules are approximately 80 nucleotides in length. Lineage: Bacteria; Pseudomonadati; Pseudomonadota; Betaproteobacteria; Burkholderiales; Comamonadaceae. The record is from RNAcentral.